GUGCACUGCUCUCUGCAUCUGUUGAGAUCGGCCUGAAGAAAGGGAAGGAUCUGGGAAGGUUCCUUUGAUUUGGUUCCCAAAAAUAACCAAAAGGGUACCACAGAGGAUCAUUCUGCGUUUGUUGGGACGGUGUGACCAAACACACAGAAAAACUCCUGCUGAAGCAGCUGAGAUCCACGCGAUACUGUUAUAAAGAUGGCGUUUAUUAAAGAGGAGAGAGAAAACAUGAGGAUUGAAGAAACAUUCGGUCUGAAACAUGACCAAACUGAGGAACAAACAGACCUGAUGGCGCUGAAAGAAGAGAGGCAAGAACU
Molecule: long non-coding RNA, 314 nt
Organism: Carassius carassius (crucian carp)
Lineage: Eukaryota; Metazoa; Chordata; Actinopteri; Cypriniformes; Cyprinidae
Exons: 4
Source: RefSeq, a predicted model, not a curated record